Molecule: ribosomal RNA, 820 nt
Filed under: uncultured Actinomycetes bacterium
Lineage: Bacteria; Bacillati; Actinomycetota; Actinomycetes
Description: bacterial SSU rRNA
Rfam family: Bacterial small subunit ribosomal RNA
Source: RNAcentral
GGCGUGCCUAAUACAUGCAAGUCGAACGAGAACCCGGAGCUUGCUCCGGGGGACAGUGGCGAACGGGUGAGUAACACGUGAGAAACCUGCCCUAGAGACUGGGACAACCAUUGGAAACGAUGGCUAAUACCGGAUGCCUUCACAUGGCCGCAUGGCCGAGUGAAGAAAUGCUCAGGCGCUCUAGGAGGGUCUCGCGGCCUAUCAGCUAGUUGGUGGGGUAACGGCCUACCAAGGCAUCGACGGGUAGCUGGUCUGAGAGGACGAUCAGCCACACUGGGACUGAGACACGGCCCAGACUCCUACGGGAGGCAGCAGUAGGGAAUCUUGCGCAAUGGGGGAAACCCUGACGCAGCAACGCCGCGUGUGGGAUGACGGCUUUCGGGUUGUAAACCACUUUCAGAGAUGACGAAAAUGACGGUAAUCUCAGAAGAAGGUCCGGCCAACUACGUGCCAGCAGCCGCGGUAACACGUAGGGACCAAGCGUUGUCCGGAUUUAUUGGGCGUAAAGAGCUCGUAGGCGGUUUUGUAAGUCGGAUGUGAAAACUCAGGGCUCAACCCUGAGACGCCAUCUGAUACUGCAAUGACUAGAGUCCGGUAGGGGAGCAUGGAAUUCCUGGUGUAGCGGUGGAAUGCGCAGAUAUCAGGAGGAACACCAAUGGCGAAGGCAGUGCUCUGGGCCGGAACUGACGCUGAGGAGCGAAAGCAUGGGGAGCAAACAGGAUUAGAUACCCUGGUAGUCCAUGCCGUAAACGUUGGGCACUAGGUGUGGGUCUUCUAACGGAUUCCGUGCCGUAGCUAACGCAUAAUGCCCCGCCUGGGA